CCUACGGGCGGCAGCAGUGGGGAAUAUUGCGCAAUGGGCGAAAGCCUGACGCAGCGACGCCGCGUGAGGGAUGAAGGUCUUCGGAUCGUAAACCUCUGUCAGCAGGGAAGAACGGUCACUGUGCUAAUCAGCAGUGAAUUGACGGUACCUGCACAGGACGCACCGGCUAACUCAGUGCCAGCAGCCGCGGUAAUACGGAGGGUGCGAGCGUUAAUCGGAAUUACUGGGCGUAAAGCGCUCGUAGGCGGUAUGCCAAGUCAAGGGGGAAAUCCCCGCGCUCAACGUGGGAACUGCCUUUGAAACUGGGAAACUGGAGUGUGUGAGAGGAUAGUGGAAUUCCAGGUGUAGGAGUGAAAUGCGUAGAUAUCUGGAGGAACAUCAGUGGCGAAGGCGACUAUCUGGCACAUAACUGACGCUGAGGAGCGAAAGCGUGGGUAGCAAACAGGAUUAGAUACCCCAGUAGUC
This 465-nucleotide ribosomal RNA is filed under the name uncultured bacterium. RNAcentral's name for it is "partial 16S ribosomal RNA". It matches the Rfam family "Bacterial small subunit ribosomal RNA", at positions 338 to 795 of the family's 1533-position model. The record is from RNAcentral.